GACGAACGCUGGCGGCGUGCUUAACACAUGCAAGUCGAACGAUGAAGAAGAGAAACGCGAACUUCGGUUCAAAUUUCACUUCGGAUUAGUGGCAGACGGGUGAGUAACGCGUGAGCAACCUACCUCUUACAAAGGGAUAGCCUCGGGAAACCGUGAUUAAUACCAUAUGACACAUUCAUAAGGCAUCUUAAGAAUGUUAAAGCUACGGCGGUAAGAGAUGGGCUCGCGUCCCAUUAGCUAGUUGGUGAGGUAACGGCCCACCAAGGCGACGAUGGGUAACCGGCCUGAGAGGGUGAACGGUCACAUUGGAACUGAGACACGGUCCAAACUCCUACGGGAGGCAGCAGUGGGGAAUAUUGCACAAUGGAGGGAACCCUGAUGCAGCGACGCCGCGUGAGCGAUGAAGGAAUUCGUUUCGUAAAGCUCUGUUCUAUGGGAAGAAAAGGACUGUACCAUAGGAGAAAGCCCCGGCUAAAUACGUG
RNAcentral lists this ribosomal RNA (482 nucleotides) under uncultured bacterium. RNAcentral describes it as "partial 16S ribosomal RNA". It matches the Rfam family "Bacterial small subunit ribosomal RNA", at positions 28 to 507 of the family's 1533-position model. The record is from RNAcentral.